UCCCUGCUGUGUCCCCAAUGUCCCCAAAGCCCCAAUACCCCAAUGUCCUGCUGUCCCUCACUUGGUGACGGUGACGGGCACGCGGUGCCAGGCGUUGUUCAGGACCCCUUUCAGGUUCCAGAUGUCCCCAAUGACCCCAAUGUCCCUGCUGUGUCCCCAAUGUCCUGGUGUCCCCAAGGAUGUCCCUCACCCUCGGUGUUGGGUUGUACCUCUGAUGUCCCCAAUACCCCAAUACCCCAAUGUCCUGCUGUCCCUCACUUGGUGGCAGUGACACUGACCCGGUGCCAGGCGUUGCUGAGGACCCCGCUCAGGUUCCAGAUGUCCCCAAUGACCCCAAUGUCCCUGCUGUGUCCCCAAUACCCCAAUGUCCUGCUGUCCCCAAGGAUGUCCCUCACUUGGUGACGGUGAUGGGCACGCGGUGCCAGGCAUUGCUGAGGACCCUGUGCAGGUUCCAGAUGGGCCCCACGUUGUCAGGUUGUACCUCUGAUGUCCCCAAUGUUCCCAAAGCCCCAAUACCCCAAUGUUCUGCUGUCCCUCACUUGGUGACGGUGACGGGCACGCGG
Molecule: long non-coding RNA, 563 nt
Filed under: Zonotrichia albicollis (white-throated sparrow)
Lineage: Eukaryota; Metazoa; Chordata; Aves; Passeriformes; Passerellidae
Description: lncRNA (ENSZALG00000009178.1)
Source: RNAcentral